CUCCCUUUAUAAGGUUUCACAGCCUUGACUUCAUUUGGGUGGUUGCAUUUCAUUCUCACAGUUCAAAUCAUGGUCACAAAAGUUAAUCUUUUCAACUCAGAUGUAACAGUUCUCUGCAGCUGUGGAGUUUACCUUUAAGAUUCACCUUGUUAUCUAUUCUAGCCCAUAGGAGGGGGAUGUUCAGGGUCAUGGGAGUGAGUGUUGGCAAUGGUCCUUUUUAUCUUGACACUUUUAAGAUCAGGAGGCUUCAGUCUCUGUGGGAGCUCAAGACCUUGAUGUGCCCUGUUAUCUCAGGGUCAGACCAAAUGCCUCAUUCAGCAAUUAGUGCCUUCGGAGCCUAUUACUUCUGAGCUAAACAAACAAACUGCUGUUAGGGACAGCAGAAGCCACUUUACAUCAUAACACUUUAUAGGUUUUUGCUAUUUAUAAAAGUUUUCCCUAUCAUACCUACAGUUCCAACAAGAGGGGAAACCACCUCUUUGUACAGAAUUGAGUAGCUAUGGGCUAUGUUAUUGGACAACUAUGGGCUAACUGGGUAACUAUGCUCUUUGUGGAAUGCACCAGAGUGGCCAUGACAACUUUUGUAAUCUGUCACCAAAGGAGCAUAAUAGACUCAGAAGGCCCUGUCAGACCCCCCCCACACACCCCACUCUGCUUUGUGUACAUCCUGCUUGCUCUAUUGUCACGGAAACUCCAGGGAAACCGGUGAAGCCCUGAAAUUCCCUCAGCCCUGUCACAAGGCCAAGGGUUUAGAUGAGAAAGUGAAACUGGCUUAGCAGCUCCUCAGCAGAGCUGACCCCUGUGAGCUCCAAGUGCAAAGACCAGGGGCUCUGUGCAGGAUGAUGCAUUAAUUCCACAGCCUCUGGGGGAGUUCACGCGAGCACAUGAACACCCCCCCACCCCCACACUCCCAUCCUUUGAAACCAUGCCUGGCCUGUGGAAAUGAAUAGACUUUAGCCCAAUCAUGUGCUGCUCUCUUUGGUCUGGGGUCAACAGCUUGGCUCCUCUCUCUGGAUCAACGCUGGGUCCUUUCAGCGGAAGCCCCAAUCUGGCUGCCCACCCCCGACAAGCUCUGCCUACACAGGGGCCUGUGUGCUUGUGGUAUCUGUCUCAGUCUUGUUUCUACUGACUCUGGGUCUAAAGACUCUGCUGCCGAGCAGCAACUAUGAAGGUCCCUUCCAGAGGGAGACAGCAGGGCCAGAGGGUGACAAGGGCAUGGGAUGCAGGAACAGAGGGUGAAGCAGGGGCCAUCAGCCAAGGAAUGAGCAAAGAAAUGGAUUCUCAGCAAGGCGUGGUAGAAACUCCUAUAAUCCUGGAAGCUGAGGCCAGCCUGAACUACACAGCGAGACCCUGUCUCAAAAUAAAUAAAUAAAUAAAAUAAAAUUUUAAAAAAAUUUAAAGGAAAUGGACGGCC
This 1414-nucleotide long non-coding RNA is filed under the name Fukomys damarensis (Damara mole-rat). RNAcentral describes it as "lncRNA (ENSFDAG00000023096.1)". Lineage: Eukaryota; Metazoa; Chordata; Mammalia; Rodentia; Bathyergidae. The record is from RNAcentral.